This is a transfer RNA of Ovis aries (sheep), 72 nucleotides long. It matches the Rfam family "tRNA". Rfam says of the family: Transfer RNA (tRNA) molecules are approximately 80 nucleotides in length. Their secondary structure includes four short double-helical elements and three loops (D, anti-codon, and T loops). Lineage: Eukaryota; Metazoa; Chordata; Mammalia; Artiodactyla; Bovidae. The record is from Rfam.
UCCCUGGUGGCUAAGAUGGUAAAGCACCUGCCUAUAAUGCUGGAGACCCUGGUUCAGUCCCUGGAUUGGGAA